CGCCGUCUCUCCCAUCGCGCAAACAACCCUAGGGUUCCUUGAGCCGCCGCCGCACCGGAGCUCCUCGACCAGCCCCACCUCAUGCCGCUCCACCCACUGCUUCUCCCUCUGCCCGCGCCGCUCUCUUCCCUGCCGGCGCUGCCCACCAUGAGCGGGGAGGCCCCAGAUCGUCUCGAGCAAGUCAGCGGGGCGGUGGCCAGAUCCACCACGGCAACAUCUCGUCCAAAUGGGCCGCGCCGGGAGAGGUAGAUCGAGGCGGCGGGCACCGUGUGCGUCUUGUCUCCUGGGACGCCGCUCCGACUCGAUCCGGCGAGGAGGCAGCCUCCGUCUGCGGCAACGAGGGCGGCGGCCGGCUGCGCGAGAGGCCGAUCUGAUUGUGCCUCCAUGACGGCAUCGUGAUGCCCACCAUCGACGGCGCUGCGUCGCGACCAAAGGGGCACCCGGCCACGGCCGGGGACUCACUGCAGUUGAAGCACUCCAUCUCGCCACCAUGUAUGUUGUGUUCUUGUGCUGCAGGUCCUUGGGGUUGGGUGUUCUUGUCGCCACCAUGUUCAUGCAGGCACGAAUUGGACUGAGAAAUGCUAACAGAGGAGGAGAAGACCAUGCAAGUCCUUGGGGUUGGGUGUGGCAACUCGCGGCUCGAAGACAAUCUUUUGUGGUGGGGCGUCGCCGCCGCCGGCGGCACCUGCAUAGACCGUCUCGCUGGGAACGAAGAGAUGCUCCCCUGAUUUGGAGCUGUAGAAAGGAGGUGGUUGCAGACACAAAGUGCGCGGCGCCGACGAUGAAAACCUUUCUAUCGACGCAAGGGCAGAAGGAGCUCAUGACGUUGUUGAUGCCACCACCAUGCACGGGGUUGAUGCAAGGUGGGACAAUGCGAUCACUAAUGGGGAGAACAUAAAACUUCAAUUGAGGGCACUGUGAUUCUCUAGCUACAUGUAUCAUAGCUUCUGCAGGAGGGCGUCACCUGCGGCAUCACUUGCAUCGACCUCUCACCGAUCACCGUCCCAAGGAUGCAUGACAGACUGGCGGAGCAGGGCACCAGUGAUUGUUUCACCAAUUUGAUUGACUCAUUGUUCCCUUCCUCUGUCCACGCAACGUUGCCCAUUGUUGCUAAGUUGUUAAUUCAUCAGGCCCAUUAUUGCGGCUACAUAGUCUGUUCAUCUUGCCUGCCUUCUUAGGAGAAACCAAUUUACUGAAAUUAAUUAUUCUUUAUUUACAUUUUAUUUGUUUCUUCCUGCUACUUGUAUAAUUUGCGUCGAAAAUAUUCUGACUACUUGCAUGAAUUUAGACCCUACUUGCACAGUUGCUUGCAUUUUGUGUUGAGAAACAUCUGCUACUUAAAUGUACAUAAUACUUGCAAGUUUUAUUUGUUGACUGUGCCAUGAUAGCUUUAGGCCUUUAGUUGUACAAAACUGCCAAAGUAGGUGACAACCACCUGCAGCUCAAUCCUUGUUUAACUCGACAGACAAGCUAAAGUAAAUGCGGAGCCAAGAUAAAUUGUUGUAAGCCUUUUAUUGACUAGGAACGAGGGGUUGUAGGAAGGAACACUGCACUAUGAGUAUGCCCUUUGUUAGCUCUUUGCCCUUUUCUGUAACACUAGCCUAUAGAAGGAUGAAUGUUGUCAAGCUCCGGGCAACAAGUAGGAUUAUCUCAGUAGUACAGUCAGCACCACUAUCUGAGAUUGCACAUUUACGACCAUGGUGGCACACAGAAAAGGAAGCUUGGUCUGAAACAAAUUGCCAAAUGCUAGGAUCAACAUUUCUUUUCUAGAGCAUCUCCUUUUCGGGAAAGUUGUUGUCGAGAACUCAGUUGCGUGUUCCUUUAUUUUCAAGAAACUCUAUAUAGACCUUGAUAGCUUGAAUAUAAUGUUUUAGUAUGGUGUAUUUGUAAGGUACAAUCCAUUCAUAAUUAUUGGUAGUAACAUGUGUGUACGUGUAUAUUUAAACAUACUGUCGCUAGAUCAAAAUUUGGACAUACAUAGAUAGCUCCAGAUGCAGCCUAAAUGUUUUUUUACUCCCCAUAUAAUCACUGUUGUGAAUCCUUGUGCGGUUGUGCCUAGAUAUAUCUAAAUGCAUCUGCUGCUAUGUCUCUCAAUACUCAAUAGCACGGUUUCAUGGCGAAUCAGUGCCACUGUUAUGUGUGUUGAUGUUUGAACUGAACCAGCGAUUUGUUAGAACUUAUAUUGUUUAUUGUAUAGGAUGUCAGCUUUCCAAAUCAUAAGAAUAUUUGCUUUGCUUUGUUUUUUAUAUUUGCAGGUUGGCAAUUCCGAAGUUAUUGCCUUUCUACUUCAAACUGAAAUAAUUCCUCUUUGUCUUUAAUAUGGAGAUGGGCACUGAACUUUAAAAAACAGUAUGAACUCAACCCCUUCUGUAAAUCAAAUAUUUCAUUUGCGGGGACGACGUGGGGCUCAUGUCGAGCACUUCACCUGCAAUGGGUGUGGCCUUCUCCGUCUGCCAAACAUGCUACAAGUACGAGCACCAUGAGGGAACUGCCUGGAGUGCAAGACCCGCCACAAGAUCCUCAGGGGUCAGUCAGCCUCCACCCACGGCCGAAGGCACUUGCAGAUGUGAAGAAUAUCCAUGUCCGAUUACAUCGCCAGAAAGCAAAAACCGAGCCCACACUAAUCAUCAAGGGAUUUUUGAAACGAGCAGAAGAUUAGUAACUUCUACGACAUCAAAGAUCUGACCUUUUAGAGUAUGCACCAUAUUGAUUUACUUAUUGAUUUAUUCACACUAUAUCAGAUUUGUCUUGAACGUGAUACUUUAUUGACUGUACUGGACACGGGAAGUUAACUGUUUUAAUUAUAUAGGAUUAGUCUGCACCAGUUGCUGCAUAAGUUCUCAUUGAUAGCAAUUUACAUACUUGGGCUACUAGGCCUUUGGUCAGUUUGCAACUGGUAUUUUAGACAUGUACGAGUAUUCUCAUGGUAUUUCUAUAUGUUUUAAUUUGUACCAGAUGGAAUUUGCGAAUUAGUCUUACAAAGAGAAGAGAAAAGGAAACAUUAUUCACGAGUUUGCAGGAAUACGGAAACUCAAGGUAGUCUGUUAGCAUAAGUAAAAAAUGUUUUUCAUUUUAUUUCUUGGUUCGACCAAAUUAUAUUUUAUCCGAACGUAUGGAUGAUAGACACAAUGGACGUACGUAGUUUCUGGUUAGCACUACUCGGAUAACAUUUGGUCUUAUGCAUUUUAGUUAAAUAUAUCCUUUGUGAUGAAUAAUGAUUUUUGAGCAUACUAUCUUCUUUUCAUGUGGGGAGAUCCCUGAUAGAAAAGAAAAUUGUGUUUCUGAUAUGUUAUGCCUAUUUCUAAGUGCUUCCAAUUUCCAACUACUAGGUAUGCAGCCUUAGAUGAACAACUACCUCUUUAUUUGCUUGAGGAUGAUUUGAUUGUGCAAUUAAGACUACAUAAUUCCACUUUUCAUUUAUAUUUAUUGGUGAGGGCGAGCUGGCGGCGGCAUGGCACACUGGUCCGCAUGACCGCGGGUUCGGCCAGGGUGCGAGCCGAUCUGGCAUGUGCGCUGGCGAAGUAAGGCGUAGAGGUGCUCCGGCCGGCUGGGUGCCUUGGUCUGUGCCGGAGGUGCGAGGUGGGCGUGGAUCUGGCACCUAGCAUGCAUGAGGGAGGACAUAUGGGCGUUGUGCGUUUCUUCGCGGCGGGAGGUGUGACUGUGCUGCUCUGCAGAUUGAUGACGUUGUUCUCCUGGUUUCGUGGAUCUGCAGCGGGGUAGCCGGUGGUUGCGGCGCCAGAGAAUGCUGGGGCAGCGGCCUCGGGCUGAUGGCUGCUAUGGCAGGGGCUGCUGCACCGGCUCGGGAUGGUGAUUUGGAGCGAUGCACUCAGAUCUGACCCUGGCAACCGUGUUGUUUCUAUGUCGCAUGAGUUGUUGCAGCUGGUCGUCGCAUGAGGGCUAUGCCGGCUGACGGCAGGGGGGGUGCCCUAGACAAUGUGCUUGGCUCUGAUGGCCUGGGUAUCGUUGCGUGACCAGAUUUGCAAGCAAGCUCACCGAUAGGAGAUCAGGGACUCGGGCGAAAGCUCCGUGACCUUUUUGAGGCAUAGUCGUAGACAUCUUCCUAUCCUUUCACGUGCUUGGAUUCUCCGGGUGAGAACCUAAACUCCAGUUUUCUGGAGUGGGUGGCGGCGGUGUUUAUGUCGUAACCAUCUUCGGAGGCGUUGCCUUGGAGGGCCAGCCUUUGGAUGUCGUGUGGGGCUCUUUCGUUUUCAAGGGCGGUGUAUGUCGGUGCUGCGGCUCCGGGAUCUUCUAUUAAGUGUCGAGGCUGCGGCCUCGGGCAGUACUGCGACGACAGCUCCAAGAGGUAGGGCUGCUUGUCGGCAUGGCUUAGGUGAGGACCUUGAAGUGCGGGAGCAGCAAGGUUGUCAGCUCCGUCAAUGCGCCCCAGUUGGGACUGUUGGACGACAUGUUGGGGCAGCGGCCCAGGAUGUGGUGCAGCGUUCGUGGUCUAUGUGCGGUUGGCCUGAGCAGCGUGAGCUGCGGGUAGCUGUAUCGUUCGGCGUAGUGCCAGCCAGGUUGUCGCUCAUCCAGGUUGCCGACCGGGAAGAGGUGUAGUGCCGGCCAAGACGAGAACAAGGGGAAGCUGCUUGGUUGUCUGUGUUCAUCAAAGGUGCUCUCUCUUUUCCAUCUUUCUUUUUAUUUACUUAAUCCUAGAUGGGUGACUACUAAUUUCCAUGUCUACUGGGAGGAAGAAGGUUGGCGGACGUAUCUUUGUGACUAUGUCAUUCACGUGCUUUGUUUCAACUCAUAAAGUGGAUCCUUUUUAAGCUCUUUCAAAUCAUAAGACAUAAUUUUCAGUUGAUUUUUUUCUUCUAAUUCCCAGUUUAUUGCUUCACAUAGACUAUUACAUAUUUAUGCUAGCAAUUCGAAGCUUUGUCCCAAGGGCAAGCAUACUGUUGAAAAAAUAAAUACAUGUAUGACAGAUCAGCCAACAACUUGUUGAUCUGUGAUUCUUUGAACUUGAUGCUUAUAACUGUCUAUAAGUCAGUAUUGUUCAGAGCCAAAGAUAAGUAACAAUCUAUUUGGUUAAGUUGAACACUUCCAGAUCAGGAGUAGUAGAAAUUCUUAAGGGCGUUGGGAUAUUGAACUGCAGAUAGCUUCGGCAGGUUUGUUAGGCUAAUAUAAAGUAGGGACCUUUGCUACAUAAUGAUACAAAUAUGAUACUGAAGGUUGUUUUGCAACUAGCAAGGUAUUUUGUUUACAAGCUG
Molecule: non-coding RNA, 5207 nt
Organism: Triticum urartu
Lineage: Eukaryota; Viridiplantae; Streptophyta; Magnoliopsida; Poales; Poaceae
Source: RefSeq, a predicted model, not a curated record